CUCUUUAGAGUCUAUCAUAUUGACUUUUCCACCUUUUGCCAUAGAGAAUUAGAAAAACACAUGCCUUCAAAAGAAAUUUUUUUGAUCUAUGAUAUAAAGAAAAGAAACCAAAUGAAUAUUAAAAAAAGAUCAAUAUUAGUCUAGGAAGAGGAUAAUCCGCAACCUCUAGAAUACUAUAGUACUUUCAAGAAGAGGGGUAAU
This 201-nucleotide long non-coding RNA is filed under the name Physcomitrium patens. RNAcentral describes it as "long non-coding RNA (PPAT_LNC006779)". The record is from RNAcentral. Lineage: Eukaryota; Viridiplantae; Streptophyta; Bryopsida; Funariales; Funariaceae.